This 468-nucleotide ribosomal RNA is filed under the name uncultured bacterium. RNAcentral describes it as "partial 16S ribosomal RNA". It matches the Rfam family "Bacterial small subunit ribosomal RNA", at positions 28 to 507 of the family's 1533-position model. The record is from RNAcentral.
GACGAACGCUGGCGGCGUGCUUAACACAUGCAAGUCGAACGGUGAAGCUCCAGCUUGCUGGAGUGGAUCAGUGGCGAACGGGUGUGUAACACGUGAGCAACCUGCCCCUGACUCUGGAAUAAGCGCUGGAAACGGCGUCUAAUACUGGAUACGAGAAGGGUCCGCAUGGGCACUUUCUGGAAAGUUUUUCGGUUGGGGAUGGGCUCGCGGCCUAUCAGCUUGUUGGUGAGGUAAUGGCUCACCAAGGCGACGACGGGUAGCCGGCCUGAGAGGGCGACCGGCCACACUGGGACUGAGACACGGCCCAGACUCCUACGGGAGGCAGCAGUGGGGAAUAUUGCACAAUGGGCGAAAGCCUGAUGCAGCGACGCCGCGUGAGGGAUGACGGCCUUCGGGUUGUAAACCUCUUUCAGCAGGGAAGAAGCGAAAGUGACGGUACCUGCAGAAGAAGCACCGGCUAACUACGUG